RNAcentral lists this ribosomal RNA (253 nucleotides) under uncultured bacterium. Its description in RNAcentral is "partial 16S ribosomal RNA". It matches the Rfam family "Bacterial small subunit ribosomal RNA", at positions 524 to 776 of the family's 1533-position model. The record is from RNAcentral.
UACGUAGGGUGCGAGCGUUGUCCGGAAUUAUUGGGCGUAAAGAGCUCGUAGGCGGUUUGUCGCGUCGACUGUGAAAACCCGAGGCUUAACCUCGGGCCUGCAGUCGAUACGGGCAGACUAGAGUUCGGUAGGGGAGACUGGAAUUCCUGGUGUAGCGGUGAAAUGCGCAGAUAUCAGGAAGAACACCCGUGGCGAAGGCGGCUCUCUGGGACGGUACUGACGCUGAGACGCGAAAGCGUGGGGAGCGAACAGG